Molecule: long non-coding RNA, 791 nt
Filed under: Monodelphis domestica (gray short-tailed opossum)
Lineage: Eukaryota; Metazoa; Chordata; Mammalia; Didelphimorphia; Didelphidae
Description: lncRNA (ENSMODG00000046360.1)
Source: RNAcentral
CCCAAUAAAGAGUGGUUUCUCUCCCAAGCUGCCUCAUAUCUCUUUGUAUAUAUUUAUUCAUUAUAGGUUUGUGCUAUGUGUGUAUGCAUAUAUAUGUACAAAUAUAUUACAUAUUUACUUGCUGUCUUCUCCAUUAUGUUAUAAACUUCUUAGGAACAGGGAUUGUUUUAUUCUUUGCACAAGAAUCUCCAGAAUCAAGUCUAGUGCCUGACACAUGAUUUCGAGUUGUAUGAGACCUUGGAAGUCACCUCGUCCAACCACCAAUGUACCACCCAUAAACAAAAGCAUCUGGUGGACUUCAUCAUCUCUGCGUGCUUUCUCUCCCUAUUAGAAUAGCAUUACAAAGUGAAAGAAGAUAAAUCAAGAUGCUGUGAUUAAUCACAAUAAUGGGCGAAAGCUGUUGUUGGAAUUCCUAUGACAUUCGAUUGGAAUACCAGUCAUUUAAAAGGCUGUCAUUUGCAUUGUUACCUCUUGUGGAACAGAUCUGUGGGGGUACUGAGAUGACUUCAUUGUGAACUCCAUGAAGGCAGGGAGCCACAUCAUCGCUACAUUUGGAACCUCUCCUGGUGCCAAAUAUGGGGCUCUGCAUUCAGUAGGCAUUUAAUAACCGUAUCAGGUGUGAGAGGUGUUCGAGGACAGGGAGAAAGACUGGCUGUGUGUGGACACCGAGAACACUCUGCCAGCCAGGAUGAACCAAAGAAGACAUCAGGAUGUUCAGAGGCUGCUCAGAAAAGGAAGUUAGCAGCCUGGAGCAUAAUGGACCACACGCAUUCUCCUAAAGGUAUACUCAG